UGCGAAUGGCUCAUUAUAUAAGUUAUCGUUUAUUUGAUAGCACCUUACUACUUGGAUAACCGUGGUAAUUCUAGAGCUAAUACAUGCUGAAAAUCCCGACUUCGGAAGGGAUGUAUUUAUUAGAUUAAAAACCAAUGCCCUCUGGGCUCCCUGGUGAUUCAUGAUAACUGCUCGAAUCGCAUGGCCUUGCGCCGGCGAUGGCUCAUUCAAAUUUCUUCCCUAUCAACUUUCGAUGUUUGGGUAGUGGCCAAACAUGGUGGCAACGGGUAACGGAGGGUUAGGGCUCGGCCCCGGAGAAGGAGCCUGAGAAACGGCUACUACAUCCAAGGAAGGCAGCAGGCGCGCAAAUUACCCAAUCCCGACACGGGGAGGUAGUGACAAUAAAUACUGAUACAGGGCUCUUUUGGGUCUUGUAAUUGGAAUGAGUACAAUUUAAAUCCCUUAACGAGGAACAAUUGGAGGGCAAGUCUGGUGAACGUUGCUGGCGCCAGAGAGAGCCGCCCCUCCGUAAACGAAGCGGCUAGUCGAGUGCUCGUGGCAGUAACGGGUGAGCACCGGCGAGACAACCUGGGUCGGGGGAGGCUAAGGGCCCCGGGCCUAUGCUAAUCCCGAGCAGAGCCGAUUUCCUACGGCCUGUGUAGAGCGCGCUAAGGUGUCGGUCCCGGGGCUCCCGCCAGCGGGAGUCCCCCGGGGCUUGAGGUACGUGCCAAUCCCCUGCGAAAGCAGGGCC
This 730-nucleotide ribosomal RNA is filed under the name Ophiocordyceps sobolifera. RNAcentral describes it as "bacterial SSU rRNA". It matches the Rfam family "Eukaryotic small subunit ribosomal RNA", at positions 88 to 586 of the family's 1831-position model. The record is from RNAcentral. Lineage: Eukaryota; Fungi; Ascomycota; Sordariomycetes; Hypocreales; Ophiocordycipitaceae.